UUCUUUCCACUUCAGCCACACCUCACCUCCUUCUCCACUCUCUCUUUACGGUCUCACUCCCUCAUUACCAUCUUCGGACGCCUGAUGCCGGAGCACCGCCAUCGUCGCCCUUCUCUCUCCCUCCGUUCAGUCACUGCGCCAUAGACAACGAAACUCCCAACUCCGGCCGCCACCCAACUGCAAUCAAGCGCCUUCUUCCGCCGCUCUCCCUCCUCAGCGAACUCUUCUCUCCUCUCCGACUGACGCAGCGACCAGCGCUGCUGGCACUUCCUCCGUUCUCCUACAAGACAGCCACCGGUAAUCUGCCGCCGUUGCCCGCAACCCGAUACUGGUCUAGUCACUGCUACCAUCUAAAAAAUCGUCCAGCCAAGCGCUCCUGUCAGGUCUCACAAUAAUGGAUUCGUAAGAGCCCAUCACAGGUUUGAUUUCUUUGUCCUAAUAUCACCAUCUUCUUCUACUCUUUUUCUCUUCCCUAAACAGAUUCUUAAAUUCGAAAUAGUUGAAAUUUGGCUUCGAAUUUUGAGAAGAUUCUUAUUAUUUUGUGUUUGUUUCAACAUAUGUUAAAACACCCAAUUUCUAUUGUUUAAAUUUGUUAUGAGUUUGAAUGCUAAUUGUUUGACUAAUUUAUGAUGGAUAUUACAUGUUAAUCUUUGUUCUUGGAUUUGAAUCUCAUACCAGAUGAGAAUGAGCUAAUGAUGGGUACAAGUCCUUUUAGUUUUGGUUGUAACUAAUUAAACAAUUAGAGAUUGUAGAAAUCCAGUUGGAUUUUAAUUUUUGUUAUUGUAGCUUGCUGUACAUAUAUACACAACUGCACAAUUUGUUUGUUUCUUUACUAUCCAAAAUUGGUGUGCAAAUAUUAAUUUAUCUGCAAGGAUCUAUUAGAAAAAUAAUCUCAUAACUCAUUGGAUUUAAAUUUAUUACUUGUUUGACACCUAAUUUUGACUCUAUUUGCUCAUUUGGCGAGCCUGUAAAGUAGUUCACACACUCAACAUAUAGAGACAUGUCAAGUUGACCGUUAGACACAAACUCAAACCACAAAUAAAAGGUUAAUUUUAUUAUAUCACUUUUAUUAAUUACAACCCAUAUAAAUCUAUAAUCUAUCUAUAUCUAUAAUUUAUAGUCUAUAUUUAUAAUCUCUAUAUAUAGUCUAUAUUUAUAAUCUAUAAUAUAUUAAAAGUGUGAAGGACCUUACAAAUGUUAUUUGAACUUUUUGCCCUUCAUUAAAAGUCCUUGUUUUAAGCAAAAUUUGUUCACAUUUUAUAAAAUGGUUCUUGUUUUAGAAAAAAAGACAAGGUUGUUACUGUAAACUUAGAAGCAUCUUACAAAUUUAGGAAAUUAGCAAUCACCCUUUCAUUUAUAAUUUAGUUUGUAUUGCUUGAAGCCUUGAACUUUAUUUAUGGGAGAACUUUGUAUAAUUAGGUGGACUCCAAAAAUUUUUAUCAAGGAAAAAUUACACGGCUUAGAAAAUAUAGACUUCUUUUUUGUCGAUUAAAUAUAAUCCGUAAUAUUUCUUCUCCUUCUCCUUCUCAACAGUCUCUUCACUCUCUCUCAAUUUGUAAGCGCAAGUGGCUCUAUCACAAUAGGCUAAAUUUUUACUUUCUUUCAAUUUCGUUCUUCUCUAAUACUUGAUGAAGCAAAUAUUGACUGUUAUUUAUUUGUAUAGGCUAUUACAAUAGGUCGAGAUCCAACUUCAAGUGAGUUACAUUUGUACGUUCAUACACAUAAUCAUGAUGGUAAAUCUUUUGUUGCUGAGCGUACCCAAAUUCUCCACGUAAGUUCAAAUUUACAUCAUUAGAUAUACUCUUCUCUUAUUUUUCUUUUGUAUUGACAUUUGUCGAAAGUUCUUAUUAUACAUGAAAAUGAAAUAAGCAACAUGAAGUUGAGUCUAUUUUAAUAUCUCCACUUGUUAAUUACAGGAAAAGUAUGAAGAAAUUGUACGAAAAAAAAAGACAGACUGAAUCUGAAAUUGAUCAAUUGGAAUCGUGUUAUGAAGCUGCGGGAGGAGUAAAGAAGAAAAUGGUUAUGUAGUAACAAAGACUAAUUUUGAUGGAUGUGAAUUUGACAUUAGAUUAUUUUUGACAAAAUACUUGAAUUGUGGAUGUUUGGACACAAUUAUGUGAUGCAUUUUGCUAUCUAUAUAUUGUGAAUAUUCUAAUAUAAGUAAUUAUUUAUAUGAAUGUUGGUUAUUUUAAUCAUUCAAUAAUUUAUGCGUUUCAAUAAUUUUCUAACAAAAUUGUUAGUGACAAAAAAUUAGUGACAAAAGUAACUUUAGCGAUGGAUUAUGAAAUAUAAAUUUGAUCGCUAAAGAUGGCUGCUUAGUCGAUCAAACUAUGUUGUAACGGCUCAGCGAUAAAAUUUUCUGUCGUAAAUUUAGCCAUAACGAAAAUAAAUUUUGAAAAUAGCAACGGUAUAGCAAUGGAAUAUUCUAUCGAUAAAAUCGACAACCGAUAAGUUCGUCGUGAAGCGGUCACAAUUUUUGCAACGGAAUUUAUUUUUUUGUCGCUAAGAGGCUAGCAGUGAG
Molecule: long non-coding RNA, 2521 nt
Filed under: Capsicum annuum
Lineage: Eukaryota; Viridiplantae; Streptophyta; Magnoliopsida; Solanales; Solanaceae
Description: long non-coding RNA (CANN_LNC007841)
Source: RNAcentral